GCCUGGCUGGCUCAGUGGGUAGAGCAUGCAACUCUCAGUCUCAGGAUCGUGAGUUCAAACCUCACGUUGGGCA
Neomonachus schauinslandi (Hawaiian monk seal) is the source of this 73-nucleotide non-coding RNA. The record is from the annotation of a RefSeq genome assembly. Lineage: Eukaryota; Metazoa; Chordata; Mammalia; Carnivora; Phocidae.